GCCUGACCUACCCUAGCCCCAUUCCGAUGCCUGACCUUCGACCUUAUACCCCUGAUCAAUUCCAAAACUCCGGUCCUUACUUCCCUGACUCCUACCCUGAUGCCAAAUCUUACGUCCCUGACCCUGAUAACCGACCUUACUUCCCUGACUCGUUCCCUGAUACCAGACCUUAUUCUCCUAACCCUGACAGCCGACCUUACCCUCAAAAUGACCUUGACUCUCGACCUUACCCUCAGAAUGACUUAAACGCCCUACCUUACCCUGAGAAUGACCUUCGCCCCCGACCUUACCCUGAGAAUGACUUACAAAUCCGAGCAUAUCCUCAGAAUGACCUUGAUCCUCUGCCCUAUGAGGACACCAUCCCCCCUCACUCCCCCCAGAACGACGUGGCCAACCUACACCCAAAACACAGGUUCUUCUCGCCCUCCAACACCGCCAAGGAACUCCAACAUCCCAAGUUACUCCUUCACUCCCGAGGUCCUCCUUCACUCGAACCACCUUCCCGCCUCGUUCCCACUCGAUCUCGGGCCUCGGGACGGUCGCCAGUUCGAGGACGAGGUGUUUCCUAUGCACAGUGAAGGAAGGGGAGGUGGUUAUAACAAGCUUCGUCCUAAUCGGGUCUUCAGUCGAAAUGUCCACACCAGGCCUGUUCAUAAGCGUGUUGACUGGUACUUCCUCGGUCCCCGACGCACGGUUCCUCGACCAACACCCUUCUUGCAUUUUGUGUAUGACCUUCAACAAUCUCCUUCCGAGUUUGGAUAUCCAAAAACACGCUUUGGAGACGCUGAUGAGAUGUGGUACCAACCUGAUGGAUUUCACCACAACACACUCCGAAAGCAGAUGUUGGGUUGGUGAGAUGCAGUAAGUGGAAGCAGGCAAGCAGUGUGAUUAUGAUGUGUAGUCAUGUGGUCUGUAUUAGUGAAGAUAAUAAAGAUCUGUGUUAAA
RNAcentral lists this unclassified non-coding RNA (945 nucleotides) under Penaeus monodon (black tiger shrimp). RNAcentral's name for it is "uncharacterized LOC119590592, transcript variant X1". The record is from RNAcentral. Lineage: Eukaryota; Metazoa; Arthropoda; Malacostraca; Decapoda; Penaeidae.